UUCCUGGUAGUCCAGUGGCUAAGACUCUGUCUCAAUGCAGAGGACCUGGGUUCAAAUCCUGGUCAGGGAA
RNAcentral lists this transfer RNA (70 nucleotides) under Capra hircus (goat). It matches the Rfam family "tRNA". From Rfam's summary of the family: Transfer RNA (tRNA) molecules are approximately 80 nucleotides in length. Their secondary structure includes four short double-helical elements and three loops (D, anti-codon, and T loops). Further hydrogen bonds mediate the characteristic L-shaped molecular structure. tRNAs have two regions of fundamental functional importance: the anti-codon, which is responsible for specific mRNA codon recognition, and the 3' end, to which the tRNAs corresponding amino acid is attached (by aminoacyl-tRNA synthetases). tRNAs cope with the degeneracy of the genetic code in two manners: having more than one tRNA (with a specific anti-codon) for a particular amino acid; and 'wobble' base-pairing, i.e. permitting non-standard base-pairing at the 3rd anti-codon position. Lineage: Eukaryota; Metazoa; Chordata; Mammalia; Artiodactyla; Bovidae. RNAcentral also lists the same sequence under 1 other name. The record is from Rfam by way of RNAcentral.